UNCAAGUCGGCUACUGGGUAUUUGUUGUC
Molecule: non-coding RNA, 29 nt
Filed under: Mus musculus (house mouse)
Lineage: Eukaryota; Metazoa; Chordata; Mammalia; Rodentia; Muridae
Source: RNAcentral